RNAcentral lists this transfer RNA (77 nucleotides) under Aeriscardovia sp. RNAcentral describes it as "tRNA-Val". It matches the Rfam family "tRNA". From Rfam's summary of the family: Transfer RNA (tRNA) molecules are approximately 80 nucleotides in length. Their secondary structure includes four short double-helical elements and three loops (D, anti-codon, and T loops). The record is from RNAcentral. Lineage: Bacteria; Bacillati; Actinomycetota; Actinomycetes; Bifidobacteriales; Bifidobacteriaceae.
GGGCGAUUAACUCAGCCGGCUAGAGUGCCACGUUUACACCGUGGAUGUCGGGGGUUCGAGUCCCUCAUCGCCCACCA